This 126-nucleotide small nucleolar RNA is filed under the name Meriones unguiculatus (Mongolian gerbil). Its description in RNAcentral is "Small nucleolar RNA SNORA17 (ENSMUGG00000025149.1)". It matches the Rfam family "Small nucleolar RNA SNORA17". From Rfam's summary of the family: snoRNA ACA 17 belongs to the H/ACA family of snoRNAs and is predicted to guide pseudouridylation of the 28S rRNA at positions U4659 and U4598. It shares the same host gene together with ACA43. Lineage: Eukaryota; Metazoa; Chordata; Mammalia; Rodentia; Muridae. The record is from RNAcentral.
GCUGCCCUUAGAGGCGUAGGUAUAGCAGGUGUGGCUGCUGUGUCACGUGUGCAUCAGCAGGUGGCAGAGGAGAGAGGCUAUGUCUACCUUCAGUGUUCUGAACAUCUGAACGACGGUCCUGAAAAA